RNAcentral lists this ribosomal RNA (452 nucleotides) under uncultured Gemmata sp. RNAcentral describes it as "bacterial SSU rRNA". It matches the Rfam family "Bacterial small subunit ribosomal RNA", at positions 335 to 797 of the family's 1533-position model. Lineage: Bacteria; Pseudomonadati; Planctomycetota; Planctomycetia; Gemmatales; Gemmataceae. The record is from RNAcentral.
ACCCCUACGGGAGGCUGCAGUCGAGGAUCUUCGGCAAUGGGCGCAAGCCUGACCGAGCGACGCCGCGUGUGCGAUGAAGGCCUUCGGGUUGUAAAGCACUGUCGAGGGGGAGAAAGCCGAAAGGUUGAUCUAUCCCUGGAGGAAGCACGGGCUAAGUUCGUGCCAGCAGCCGCGGUAAGACGAACCGUGCGAACGUUGUUCGGAAUCACUGGGCUUAAAGGGCGCGUAGGCGGGCUGCAAAGUCCGGGGUGAAAUCCUCCAGCUCAACUGGAGAACGGCCUCGGAUACUUGCGGUCUCGAGGGAGGUAGGGGCGUGCGGAACUAUGGGUGGAGCGGUGAAAUGCGUUGAUAUCCAUAGGAACUCCGGUGGCGAAGGCGGCACGCUGGACCUUUUCUGACGCUGAGGCGCGAAAGCCAGGGGAGCAAACGGGAUUAGAUACCCCAGUAGUCGU